GGGGCUAUAGCUCAGCUGGGAGAGCGUGUGACUGGCAGUCACAAGGUCGGCGGUUCGAUCCCGCCUAGCUCCACCA
Molecule: transfer RNA, 76 nt
Filed under: Gammaproteobacteria bacterium
Lineage: Bacteria; Pseudomonadati; Pseudomonadota; Gammaproteobacteria
Description: tRNA-Ala
Rfam family: tRNA
About the family: Transfer RNA (tRNA) molecules are approximately 80 nucleotides in length.
Source: RNAcentral